UUGGGCAAAAGGGUUUUUCAAGAGAGGGUAGGUACCUUUAUCGUGCUCUGUCAAAAGAUUACACAAGCUCAGAGAGAUAAGAGGGAGACGGAAGGAGAUUGGGCAAAAGGGUUUUUCAAGAGAGGGUAGGUACCUUUAUCGUGCUCUGUCAAAAGAUUACACAAGCUCAGAGAGAUAAGAGGGAGACGGAAGGAGAUUGGGCAAAAGGGUUUUUCAAGAGAGGGUUUGGGGCUUAUCUUUUCUUUCUUUUUCUUCUUUUCUUGUAAAGAGUGAUUGGUUAUACAGGCUCCAUCUGAAGUGACAGCGAGCGUUUGGGAACCCAAUAGAUAUAUUUUUUUGCAGAGCA
Molecule: unclassified non-coding RNA, 346 nt
Filed under: Hevea brasiliensis (rubber tree)
Lineage: Eukaryota; Viridiplantae; Streptophyta; Magnoliopsida; Malpighiales; Euphorbiaceae
Source: RNAcentral